GAUGAAGAACGCAGCGAAAUGCGAUAAGUAGUGUGAAUUGCAGAAUUCAGUGAAUCAUCGAAUCUUUGAACGCACAUUGCGCCCCUUGGUAUUCCAUGGGGCAUGCCUGUUCGAGCGUCAUUGCAACCCCUCAAGCACAGCUUGUGUGUUGGGCUCUCGUCCCCCGUGGACGGGCCUGAAAUGCAGUGGCAGCACCGAGAUACCGGUGUCUGAGUGUAUGGGCAUUGAUCAUCACUCGAUAGACCCGAUCGGCGCUGACCGUCAAACCACGAUUCCUCGGAAUCAUCCAGUUUUGACCUCGGAUCAGGUAGGAAUACCCGCUGAACUUAAGCAUAUCAUAAGCGGAGGA
This 349-nucleotide unclassified non-coding RNA is filed under the name soil metagenome. RNAcentral's name for it is "partial contains 5.8S ribosomal RNA, internal transcribed spacer 2, and large subunit ribosomal RNA". The stretch from base 1 to 120 matches the Rfam family "5.8S ribosomal RNA", at positions 35 to 154 of the family's 154-position model. The record is from RNAcentral.